AGCCAUUCUAAUAUAAAUGAAUGGUGUUACCUGGUCAGUGGCUUUGAAAAUAAUAAAAGUUAAACACAUGUCUUAAAAUGAGGACAAUAAUGUAGCAUAAUAAUUUGACAUUUAAUUGGUGUAGGGUAUGAAUGGUGUUAUGAUUUUAUCUUUGUCUCAUCUCAUAAGUCUUAAUAAAUUGAAAAAAGUAUGAAAAUAUAUUUAAAUGAAUAUUAGACGAAAAGACCCCGUAAACCUUUAUUGACUUUGAAAUAGAAGUAUUUUUAGCUGGGAUGGCUACUUCUUAUGAAAAACAGAAGUAUUAUACAUAUUUAAUUUGAUAUAUCAAUGAUCGAUAGCAAAUGACCAUCUUUUAAAUAAAUGAGUUUUUAAAUAUAUGAAGAUAUUAGUAGAAAAAAGGUACUUCGGGGGUAACAGCAUAAUUUAUUUAUAGAGAUGAUAUUUAUGAAUAGGCUUAUGACUUCGAUGUUGAAUUGAUUUUACCAUAGUAGGUGCAGAAGCUGUGAAGGUUUGGACUGUUCGUCCAUUAAAAAAUU
Molecule: ribosomal RNA, 536 nt
Filed under: Solmaris corona
Lineage: Eukaryota; Metazoa; Cnidaria; Hydrozoa; Narcomedusae; Solmarisidae
Description: partial large subunit ribosomal RNA
Rfam family: Bacterial large subunit ribosomal RNA
Source: RNAcentral